This 153-nucleotide ribosomal RNA is filed under the name Paenibacillus polymyxa. RNAcentral describes it as "partial 16S ribosomal RNA". It matches the Rfam family "Bacterial small subunit ribosomal RNA", at positions 1390 to 1533 of the family's 1533-position model. The record is from RNAcentral. Lineage: Bacteria; Bacillati; Bacillota; Bacilli; Caryophanales; Paenibacillaceae.
CCGCCCGUCACACCACGAGAGUUUACAACACCCGAAGUCGGUGAGGUAACCGCAAGGAGCCAGCCGCCGAAGGUGGGGUAGAUGAUUGGGGUGAAGUCGUAACAAGGUAGCCGUAUCGGAAGGUGCGGCUGGAUCACCUCCUUUCUAUGGAGA